RNAcentral lists this ribosomal RNA (95 nucleotides) under Propithecus coquereli (Coquerel's sifaka). The record is from RNAcentral. Lineage: Eukaryota; Metazoa; Chordata; Mammalia; Primates; Indriidae.
AUGGUCACACUGAAUGUGACCAAUCUCAUCCGAUCUUGGAAGGUAAGCAGGGUUAGGCCUGCUUAGUACUUGGAUGGGGGAGUAUGUGAUUCAUU